GCCGAUGUAGCUCAAUGGCAGAGCCGGCGCAUGGUAGGCGCCAGACGAGCGUUCGAUUCGCUCCAUUGGCUCCA
Molecule: transfer RNA, 74 nt
Filed under: Acidobacteriota bacterium
Lineage: Bacteria; Pseudomonadati; Acidobacteriota
Also listed under: 1 other name
Description: Acidobacteria bacterium tRNA-Thr
Rfam family: tRNA
About the family: Transfer RNA (tRNA) molecules are approximately 80 nucleotides in length. Their secondary structure includes four short double-helical elements and three loops (D, anti-codon, and T loops).
Source: RNAcentral